RNAcentral lists this ribosomal RNA (513 nucleotides) under uncultured bacterium. RNAcentral's name for it is "bacterial SSU rRNA". It matches the Rfam family "Bacterial small subunit ribosomal RNA", at positions 15 to 518 of the family's 1533-position model. The record is from RNAcentral.
GAUUCUGGCUCAGGAUGAACGCUAGCUACAGGCUUAACACAUGCAAGUCGAGGGGCAGCAUGAGAUUAGCUGCUAAUCUUGAUGGCGACCGGCGCACGGGUGAGUAACGCGUAUCCAACCUUCCCCUUAGUAGGGCAUAGCCCGGCGAAAGUCGGAUUAAUACCCUAUGUUCUUCGUAGAGGACAUCUGAAAUGAAGCAAAGAUUUAUCGCUAAGGGAUGGGGAUGCGUCUGAUUAGGUAGUCGGCGGGGUAACGGCCCACCGAGCCUGCGAUCAGUAGGGGUUCUGAGAGGAAGGUCCCCCACAUUGGAACUGAGACACGGUCCAAACUCCUACGGGAGGCAGCAGUGAGGAAUAUUGGUCAAUGGGCGCGAGCCUGAACCAGCCAAGUAGCGUGCAGGAUGACGGCCCUAUGGGUUGUAAACUGCUUUUAUGCGGGGAUAAAGUGCACCACGUGUGGUGUUUUGUAGGUACCGCAUGAAUAAGGACCGGCUAAUUCCGUGCCAGCCGCCGC